RNAcentral lists this ribosomal RNA (468 nucleotides) under uncultured bacterium. Its description in RNAcentral is "partial 16S ribosomal RNA". It matches the Rfam family "Bacterial small subunit ribosomal RNA", at positions 28 to 507 of the family's 1533-position model. The record is from RNAcentral.
GACGAACGCUGGCGGCGUGCUUAACACAUGCAAGUCGAACGGCAAGGCCCUGAUAUCGUGGUGUGCCCGAGUGGCGAAGGGGUGCGUAACACGAGUGUAACCUGCCCUUCAUUUUGGGAUAACUUAAGGAAACUGGGGCUAAUAUCGGAUCGCAGACCACCUUGCAUGGAGGGGGUUGGAAAGUUUCGGCGGGUGGGGAUGGACGAGCGGCUUAUCAGUUUGUUGGUGGGGUAGUGGCUUACCCAGGAAUUGGACGGUCGCCGGCCUGAGAGGGUGACCGGCCACAUGGGGACUGAGAUACGGCCCAGACUCCUACGGGAGACAGCAGUGGGGAAUAUGGCACAAUGGGCGGAAGCCUGAGGCAGCAACGCCGCGUGCGGGAUGACGGCCUUCGGGGUGUAAACCGCUUUCGCCUGUGACGAAGCGUGAGUGACGGUAAUGGGUAAAGAAGCACCGGCUAACUACGUG